CGGGUGAGUGUAAUGUGGGAAUCUGCCUUUUGGUUUGGAAUAACACGGGGAAACUUGUGCUAAUACCGAAUAAGCCCUUACGGGGAAAGUUUUAAUGCCAAAAGAUGAGCCCGCACUUGAUUAGCUAGUUGGUAAGGUAAAAGCUUACCAAGGCUACGAUCAAUAGCUGUUCUUAGAGGAAGACCAGCCACAUUGGGACUGAGACACGGCCCAGACUCCUACGGGAGGCAGCAGUGGGGAAUCUUGCACAAUGGGGGAAACCCUGAUGCAGCGAUGCCGCGUGAGUGAAGAAGGCCUUUGGGUUGUAAAACUCUUUCGUCGGGGAAGAAAAUGACUGUACCCGAAUAAGAAGGUCCGGCUAACUUCGUGCCAGCAGCCGCGGUAAUACGAAGGGACCUAGCGUAGUUCGGAAUUACUGGGCUUAAAGAGCUCGUAGGUGGUUAAAAAAGUUGAUGGUGAAAUCCCAAGGCUCAACCUUGGAACUGCCAUCAAAACUUUUUA
Molecule: ribosomal RNA, 501 nt
Filed under: uncultured Pelagibacterales bacterium
Lineage: Bacteria; Pseudomonadati; Pseudomonadota; Alphaproteobacteria; Candidatus Pelagibacterales
Description: bacterial SSU rRNA
Rfam family: Bacterial small subunit ribosomal RNA
Source: RNAcentral